RNAcentral lists this ribosomal RNA (245 nucleotides) under uncultured Thermomonas sp. RNAcentral's name for it is "partial 16S ribosomal RNA". It matches the Rfam family "Bacterial small subunit ribosomal RNA", at positions 524 to 768 of the family's 1533-position model. The record is from RNAcentral. Lineage: Bacteria; Pseudomonadati; Pseudomonadota; Gammaproteobacteria; Lysobacterales; Lysobacteraceae.
UACGAAGGGUGCAAGCGUUACUCGGAAUUACUGGGCGUAAAGCGUGCGUAGGUGGUUUUUUGAGUCCGUUGUGAAAGCCCUGGGCUCAACCUGGGAAUGGCAGUGGAUACUGGAAAGCUAGAGUGCGGUAGAGGGUAGUGGAAUUCCCGGUGUAGCAGUGAAAUGCGUAGAGAUCGGGAGGAACACCAGUGGCGAAGGCGGCUACCUGGACCAGCACUGACACUGAGGCACGAAAGCGUGGGGAG